Molecule: RNA transcript, 3661 nt
Organism: Pan troglodytes (chimpanzee)
Lineage: Eukaryota; Metazoa; Chordata; Mammalia; Primates; Hominidae
Gene: CFAP20
Gene name: cilia and flagella associated protein 20
Exons: 6
Source: RefSeq, a predicted model, not a curated record
GAGCAAUCACAAUCUUUAUUUUCCUCUAUGAUUAUUGUUUAUUUGGUUUUCUAGUUCUAGACCCAAAAUUGGUCACUUUUUUCCUAGAAAAUAAUUUAUCUCAUACAGAUUUUCAAGGGGGUAAAGUUGUGUGUAGCAUUUGAAUAAUCAUCAUAAUAACUCUUCUAUAGUCAAUUCUUUCUUUAAUAUGUCUGCUUUUCUUAACUGGAAUUUUUGCCUAAGAUAUUUUUAACAAUUUAAUAAAAAUCAAGGGAUACAUUGUUCAUCAGUCUAAGGUAUAGCCUCUCCAGAAAUCAUCCAAAAAUGACAGUUUCAUAUAAAAAGUUUUUGACUUUCUACAGUAAUAAGAUUCAUAUAUUUUCUCACUAUGUCCAGAAAUUCUGGCUGGAUUAUUUAGGGGGCUGAUGUGAGGACUGAAUGAGUUAAUACAUGCUAAGGUGUUAAUAUAUAGUGCCUGACACAUAGUAAAUGUUCAACUUACUGCUAUAGUGGACAAAAACUGCUAAUAAUGAUGAUAUUAGCUACAGACUCCUUUUCUAUCAGCCAUACCACCCAGCACAGGCCUAGGCAAAAAAUACAAUAUUUAGGUAGAUGCUCAGUGACUAUGUCAACAUUUGAGAUUUCCCUUUACACUCAAAAUUUAGCUUACUUUAUGUGUUUUCUAAAAUAUUCUAGGUAUUAAUUAAUUUAUUAAUUUAUUUAUUUUGAGACGGAGUCUCACUGUCACCCAGGCUGGAGUGCAGUGGCGUGAUCUCAGCUCACUGCCAGCUCUGCCUCAUGGGUUCACGCCAUUCUCCUGUCUCAGCCUCCCGAGUAGCUAGGACUACAGGCGCCCGCCACCACGCCCGGCUAAUUUUUUGUAUUUUUAGUAGAGACGGGGUUUCAUCGUGUUAGCCAGAAUGGUCUCGAUCUCUUGACCUCGUGAUCCACCUGCCUCAGCCUCCCAAAGUGCUGGGAUUGCAGGCGUGAGCCACCGCGCCCAGCCGUAUUAAUUUUUAUUUUUAUUUUUCAGAGACUGUGUUGCCCAGGCUGGAGUGUAGACCAGCCUGAGUUUGAGACCAGCCUGAGCAACAUAGUGCAACCCUGUCUCUACAAAAACAAAAAAUUAACGCAGGCAUGGUGGCCCACGCUUGUAGUCAGCUACUCUGGAGACUGGGUGGAAGGAUAGGCUGAGCAAGGGAGGUCGAGGCUGCAGUGAGCCAUGAUCGCGCCACUGCACUCCAGCCUAGGUGACAGAGCGAGAUCCUGUCUCAAAAAUAAAUAAACAAAUAAAUAAUAAAAUAAAAAUCAGCUGUUGGUUCAACUCAACUUUCUUAAUUUUGUUUAUGAAUGUCUGCCUUAUCUUAAUGUUCAGGAUUAUUUAUUUGAGACCGGGUUUCGCUCUGUCGCCCAGGCUGGAGUGCAGUGGCGUGGUCUCAGCUCACUGCAGUCUCCUCCUCCCGGGCUCAAGGGAUCAUCCCACCUCAGCCCCCCAAGUAGCUGGGAUUACAGGCGCGCGCCACCACGCCCGGCUGAUUUUUGUAUUUUUUUGUAGAGGAAGGGUCUCGCUUUUUUGCCCAGGCUGGUCUUGAACUCCUGGACUCAAGCGAUCCGCCUGCCUCGGCCUCCCAAGGUGCUGGGAUUUCGGCCGUGAGCCACCGCGCCCGGCCUAAUCAUGUUCGGGCUUUCUUAUUUUCUAAUCAAUGUAUUUAAGGCGAUACAUUUUCCUCAGAGUGUCGCUUUGACUGCAUGCCACAAUGUGAAUAAUGACAGGCAGGGAUGUAUAUUAGGCGCUUAUCACAGUUAGUGCUGAAUAUUGGUUAGUUCCCUUUAACCUUAUCCUGUACUUGGCCGACAAGCAUUUGUUGGGCGUCCGCCCGACGCCAAGAAGCUCUUUUUCAAAGCCGCUUUCCCUGCGCAGCCCCUGUUCUCCCGCGCGGGCAACUACUCCCGGCCUGGCCGUCUCGCCCCCUCACGUCACUCACCGCCCCGCCACGUUCUCAUGACACCACGCAGGUGCCAGCAACAAACUCCAGAACCCUCCGUGCCCUUCCGCUUUUCCAAAGGCAUCUCUGGGACGACGGCAAGAAAAAUAGUUCCUUGACAACUGAGCGCUUUUCAGGAGGAGGCGGGACCAGGCGGGACUUACAGGCGGAACGAAACGGAAGUCCGUGGUCCUGGUAACGGGAUUGGGCCCCGCGCUCCCGGGGGGCGGGCUCAGAUGGGCGGAGGGAUUCAUUUUAAGCAACGGGCGGCCCUCCGCCUCCAUUGAAGGCGGGGAAAUACCGCGGCGCGGGCGGUAGUUGCUGUGGUUUCCGUUCUGAGCUCGCAGCUUAGGAGCUGAAGAUCGCGGACUUAGCGUUCCCGCGUCCGAGUCCGGCCAUCAGUGGCUGCAGAUCCGGAGGUCAGGAGCUCAACCACCCUUCUUCGGAACAGGGCCGGCCUGCUGCUGUGCCUUCGACGCUCGGUGCCUGUAUCUACUCCGGGGCCUAGGUCGGCUCCGGGGGCGGCUUAGGAGAAGGCCGCCGGCGAGAUGUUCAAAAACACGUUCCAGAGCGGCUUCCUCUCCAUCCUCUACAGCAUCGGCAGCAAGCCUCUGCAAAUCUGGGACAAAAAGGUACGGAAUGGCCACAUCAAAAGAAUCACUGAUAAUGACAUCCAGUCCCUGGUGCUGGAGAUUGAAGGGACAAAUGUAAGCACCACAUAUAUCACAUGCCCUGCAGACCCCAAGAAGACGCUGGGAAUUAAACUUCCUUUCCUUGUCAUGAUUAUCAAAAACCUGAAGAAGUAUUUUACCUUCGAAGUGCAGGUACUAGAUGACAAGAAUGUGCGUCGUCGCUUUCGGGCAAGUAACUACCAGAGCACCACCCGGGUCAAACCCUUCAUCUGCACCAUGCCCAUGCGGCUGGAUGACGGCUGGAACCAGAUUCAGUUCAACUUGCUAGACUUCACACGGCGAGCAUACGGCACCAAUUACAUCGAGACCCUCAGAGUGCAGAAUCCAUCCCUAAGACAAGCCAAGGAGAUGCCGGAGAUGACGCGUUUCCAGUCCUGGAAGAGGGCCUCUAGAAGAUUCAGGAAAAGGGGGAGAACAGUCACAUUUCGCCUCUCAAAAGAAGCAUUGCCUUGACAGAUCCAUGCAAAUUGUCGCAUCCGACGGGUUUACUUCUCAGACAGACUCUACUCAGAAGAUGAGCUGCCGGCAGAGUUCAAACUGUAUCUCCCAGUUCAGAACAAGGCAAAGCAAUAACUGGAAUUGUGACUCGAGGGAUAGACCCUGGAUGUGACUCUUCUUUUUAAAAGGAAACUAUGUGGAGGACGAUGCAAAAACAUAUUUAUCUUAGUUUGCUCUGCUGUAGUUCUGUUAUUUAUACUUGGUGUUGCUUGUCAUGGACACCGGUGAACAUGCCGUAACUCUGUGACUGCAUUGUAAGUGCAGUGGGGGUAAGCAGUCCUGUGAGUGGCGCAUGAACGCUGGAGCUUAUUCCGCCGCCUGCCCCAGUGUGGGGGGAGAUACCUUUACCAUGAACUUACAGAAUUAAAGAUGGCCCAUAAGGAAUUCCAGACCAAUAUUUCUUCCUGCGGUUUAUUCUAUGUUUUAUAUAUUAUCUAAAUAUAUGUAUAUGCUGUGUCAUACUCAUAAUCUGGAAAUGAAUAAAAUGAUAUAUUCCUGGUUUGUAAA